This 69-nucleotide ribosomal RNA is filed under the name Parachlamydia acanthamoebae. RNAcentral's name for it is "partial 16S ribosomal RNA". Lineage: Bacteria; Pseudomonadati; Chlamydiota; Chlamydiia; Parachlamydiales; Parachlamydiaceae. The record is from RNAcentral.
GGUUUUACCCGAAGCCGCUGACUUAACCGCAAGGAGAGAAGCGUCGAAGGUGAGGCUGAUGACUGGGAU